UUCAUGGAGAGUUUGAUCCUGGCUCAGGACGAACGCUGGCGGCGUGCCUAAUACAUGCAAGUCGAGCGGACAGAUGGGAGCUUGCUCCCUGAUGUUAGCGAGUGGUUGCAAUGGUUGCGAGGAACUUAUCCACACACUAUACAAACUGUUGAAGAAAUAUUGUCCACAAUGGUUAGUUUUGUGAAAAUGUUGUCGAUAAUGAUUGUGGAUAGAAAA
This 216-nucleotide ribosomal RNA is filed under the name Bacillus haynesii. RNAcentral's name for it is "partial 16S ribosomal RNA". It matches the Rfam family "Bacterial small subunit ribosomal RNA", at positions 1 to 206 of the family's 1533-position model. Lineage: Bacteria; Bacillati; Bacillota; Bacilli; Caryophanales; Bacillaceae. The record is from RNAcentral.